RNAcentral lists this ribosomal RNA (253 nucleotides) under uncultured bacterium. Its description in RNAcentral is "partial 16S ribosomal RNA". It matches the Rfam family "Bacterial small subunit ribosomal RNA", at positions 524 to 776 of the family's 1533-position model. The record is from RNAcentral.
UACAGAGGGUGCGAGCGUUAAUCGGAAUUACUGGGCGUAAAGCGUGCGUAGACGGUUAUUUAAGUCGGAUGUGAAAGCCCCGGGCUCAACCUGGGAAUUGCAUUCGAGACUGAAUAGCUAGGGUACGGUAGAGGGAAGUGGAAUUUCCGGUGUAGCGGUGAAAUGCGCGGAUAUCAGGAGGAACACCUAUUGCGAAGGCAGCUCGCUGGGACGUAACUGACGCUGAGACGCGAAAGCGUGGGGAGCAAACAGG